AGCUUCUAACUUUUAAAAGAGCAUUUAAUUGUUCAUAUUUUUA
Molecule: transfer RNA, 43 nt
Filed under: Macrolibnetis depressus
Lineage: Eukaryota; Metazoa; Arthropoda; Insecta; Coleoptera; Lycidae
Description: partial tRNA-Ser
Source: RNAcentral